Molecule: ribosomal RNA, 480 nt
Filed under: uncultured bacterium
Lineage: Bacteria
Description: partial 16S ribosomal RNA
Rfam family: Bacterial small subunit ribosomal RNA
Source: RNAcentral
GACGAACGCUGGCGGCGUGCCUAACACAUGCAAGUCGAGCGAAUGAAGUUCCUUCGGGAAUGGAUCUAGCGGCGGACGGGUGAGUAACACGUGGGCAACCUGCCUCAUAGAGGGGAAUAGCCUUCCGAAAGGGAGAUUAAUACCGCAUAAGAUUGUAGUACCGCAUGAUACAGCAAUCAAAGGAGCAAUCCGCGAUGAGAUGGGCCCGCGGCGCCCUGGCUAGUUGGAGAGGUAACGGCGCACCAAGGGGACGAUGCGUAGCCGACCUAAGAGGGUGAUCGGCCACAUUGGGACUGAGACGCGGCCCAGACUUCUACGGGAGGCAGCAGUGGGGAAUAUUGCACAAUGGGGGAAACCCUGAUGCAGCAACGCCGCGUGAGUGAUGACGGCCUUCGGGUUGUAAAGCUCUGUCUUCAGGGACGAUAAAGACGGUACCUGAGGAGGAAGCUACGGCUAACUACGUGCCAGCAGCCGCAGUAA